GUUAAACCAAAAUGAUGGGAAAACACCAAUACAAACCAAAUAAAAUGACUAUGACCUUAAACAGUAACAAGUUCAAAUGGAAUUAAAAACCAAACACAAAAAUCAACACAAACACCGACAAUAGAAAAAGGAAAUAGAAAAAAACACAAAACAGUCAAUAAAAAGGAAAAUAAAACAACAACACAAAUACCGUUAAUAGAAAAACGUUUAAAGGAAAUAAAAC
RNAcentral lists this long non-coding RNA (223 nucleotides) under Linum usitatissimum (flax). RNAcentral's name for it is "long non-coding RNA (LUSI_LNC007507)". Lineage: Eukaryota; Viridiplantae; Streptophyta; Magnoliopsida; Malpighiales; Linaceae. The record is from RNAcentral.